UGGAAAAUGAGGCUAACAAGUGCGGUGGAUAAGGCUGGAUAGAAGAGAGAGUGUCAUGAAUAAUCCAGCCCCCUUUUGGACAUUGUUCUGAAGAGAUAAGCUUACCUGGUCAGGACACAAUGCAAGUGAACCGAGACUCUUCUCUUUGGCUUUACGUGAAGAUUAUGGGAAAAGCCCAGUUCCAAAAAGAUGAUAUUCUUCAGUGAUAUAUUACAGAAGAAAUAUUGCAAUCUUCAUUCAUUGCAAGAAAACUGAGGCACAGACAAGUAAAGUAACCUGCUGGAAACCCAGAGCAUGUAAGUCAUGGAUCAGAGCUGGAGUUCUAACUCAGAUGUUUGCCCCCACACCGCCCACUCUCGACUACUAUGCUAUUUGGAAGUGUACCUUUUAAAGUGGAGUCAGCUUAUCACUGAAAUGUCAACAACAGGGGUCUGGUGGCCACAUCUAGUCUUACAGGUAAGAACCAAUCCUGCAGUUUCGUCUCAAACACCUCUGGAGCUUGAAACAUGUUCAUCUGGAUGAAUGGCCUGAGAAAGAGUUAACUUUUAUUAGUGAAAGUGACCAGGACAGGCUUACCCUGAUGUGACCUCACAGUGCCAACUCCUCAUAAACCUUCUAAUCUUAAUGCUGUGAGCUUUCCACUGCUACAGAAAUUAUCUUUUUGUUUUAAUUAUUAAAUUGACUUCAAGACUUGAAGACUAAGUUCAUAUACACAGAUAUGUGCUUAGAGAUAUUUAUCUCCAAAGGAUAUGAUAAUGAGUGUUUACAAGCCAUUCAUUAUAAAUUCUGGAACCACAAAGAACAGUGGAGAAAAAGCUUUCAGUGGGCAGUUGUAGUUAGUUUAUCAUGAACAUUCUGGCUUAGGUGUGCAACUUGAGAGCAGGUUAGGGUAAACUGAGCAAGAUCUAGAAGGCUCUGGGCAACUAGACACAUUUGGUGCCAGAAAUGAGAAAAGGGAUAUGGUCACAAGGAAAAGAUCUUGAAGCAAUAGGUGACAUCCUGUUUCAUCUAGCUCAGCUAUGACUUUAUGUAUA
Molecule: long non-coding RNA, 1034 nt
Organism: Neofelis nebulosa (Clouded leopard)
Lineage: Eukaryota; Metazoa; Chordata; Mammalia; Carnivora; Felidae
Exons: 4
Source: RefSeq, a predicted model, not a curated record